Molecule: ribosomal RNA, 243 nt
Filed under: uncultured bacterium
Lineage: Bacteria
Description: partial 16S ribosomal RNA
Rfam family: Bacterial small subunit ribosomal RNA
Source: RNAcentral
GAUCCUGGCUCAGGAUGAACGCUAGCUACAGGCUUAACACAUGCAAGUCGAGGGGCAGCAUGAACUUAGCUUGCUAAGUUGAUGGCGACCGGCGCACGGGUGAGUAACACGUAUCCAACCUGCCGAUGACUCGGGGAUAGCCUUUCGAAAGAAAGAUUAAUACCGAUGGCAUAGUUCUUCCGCAUGGUAGAACUUAUUAAAGAAUUUCGGUCAUUCGGAUGGGGAUGGCGUUCCAUUAGGUUG